AUGCUCGCUUCGGCAGCACAUAUAUUAAACUUGGAACGAUACAGAGACGAUUAGCCUGGCCCUGCGCAAGGAUGACAUGCAAAUUUGUGAAGCGCUCCACAUAAAU
Molecule: small nuclear RNA, 106 nt
Organism: Molossus molossus (Pallas's mastiff bat)
Lineage: Eukaryota; Metazoa; Chordata; Mammalia; Chiroptera; Molossidae
Source: RefSeq, a predicted model, not a curated record